RNAcentral lists this ribosomal RNA (253 nucleotides) under uncultured bacterium. RNAcentral's name for it is "partial 16S ribosomal RNA". It matches the Rfam family "Bacterial small subunit ribosomal RNA", at positions 524 to 776 of the family's 1533-position model. The record is from RNAcentral.
UACGUAGGGUGCAAGCGUUGUCCGGAUUUAUUGGGCGUAAAGAGCGUGUAGGCGGCCAUACAGGUCAGCUGUGAAAACUCGAGGCUCAACCUCGAGACGUCGGUUGAAACCGUAUGGCUAGAGUCCGGAAGAGGAGAGUGGAAUUCCCGGUGUAGCGGUGAAAUGCGCAGAUAUCGGGAAGAACACCAGUGGCGAAGGCGGCUCUCUGGGACGGUACUGACGCUGAGACGCGAAAGCGUGGGGAGCGAACAGG